UUUGUCUGUCUAAUUCAUUUUCAUAUGUUUGUCCUAAACAUCCAUGCUUGUUGUCAAACUUUUAGUUAGGUUUUGUUUCGUAUGUUCUGAG
Octopus sinensis (East Asian common octopus) is the source of this 91-nucleotide long non-coding RNA. RefSeq lists it as uncharacterized. The record is from RefSeq and is a predicted model, not a curated record. The transcript has 3 exons. NCBI's taxonomy places the organism in Eukaryota, Metazoa, Mollusca, Cephalopoda, Octopoda, Octopodidae.